UUUAAAAAAUGCCCAGACUUUUUGCGGUCAUAACAGGUACCCUUUGGAGUAGCAGCAGAGCCCUUAAAUAGGGGUUUGUUUUGAUUUACAGUUAGCUGUUGCAAGUUGAAGGCUAAUGAUGUGCGUGGCUUUCUUUUCACUGUUUUGGUUAUUUUGGUUAUUUCAAGCCAGUGGGACAGGAACCGUGGGACUACGCCAGUGAAACACAUUAUGCACCCAGUGUGCCUCGUGUUGGCUGCUCUCGCGUAACCCCUUCUAUUACGAGGCGGAUCGAAGUUGGGCCCUUCUACAAGCUGGACUUAAAAACAGAGGACCCUGGCUCCAAAAAGCACCAAUGAGCUGCCAGAGUUCCCUGCCAAUAUUGACCAAUCAGGACGAAGUUCUUUCAACCAAUCAGGAUGGGGCACUUUUUUUUCUUUUCCCUCAUUAGCAUAGUGAAACCCAGUGGAAAUGGCCACGCGCACCUGAGCAGGAACUUUAACUCGCCUGUGUUUGUGGAGCAUGAAGGGCCAUGUUCCUCAAACCUACAUCCGGCAGGAGUUCCAGCAGGAAGCUAUCAGAAGUCCCCUUAGAAGAAUUAUUUCCCGUAACAGUACUCACCGAGAACCUGAAACCCGGCUCUCCCACUCAGAAUGGGGGAAGACAGAAGGCUCCCCUCAGCUAUGAGUGAAGACAGAACCGGAACCGGAAUCUGUGUUCCAGGAGGUGGUGGGCGUGCAAUUGACAAGAUGUAGUUGAUUAAAGUCAAAAGUUCACCUCGUGCUGAGAAUUGCAACAGGACAGGUGCAUAGGCGCGGCUUCAGUAUCCUCCAGACCCUGUUUUGAAUGACUCUUUGCAACGCUCACUUCAUUUUGGAACCUUCUUCCACAACAUCAUCACCUACAGACUGUAAUUAUGACAAGCACACAGUAUACCACAGUUCCAAUAUUUGGCUGGAAUGAAACUCAGAUGAGGUCUUCCAGAUGGACUAAGAAUUAAAUCUACACGAGACCCGUGAAUAGGAGGAGGAAAAACUAGGUUUUAUUCAGUGCACGUGGAGGCCUAAUAAUGCAAUUGAGACCCAAAGAAACACCGAAGCAGUUUUUAUGCUUUUCGGACAAAGAGAUAACAAAUUGGUGAGUAAUUGACGGGAUAAAGAAAAUAGAUGUUUGGGAGCUUUAAUUAGCAAGGAAUUAUGAAGUGGAAUUCGGGCCGAGUUAGUAAAUUACAAAAGAAAAAAAAAGUAACAACGUUUGUUUCCACACCUUUCUCAGCUUUAAAGUCUCUGUCUCUGGUGAUAAGGAUGUCUUUUUAACUUCUUAGU
Molecule: long non-coding RNA, 1304 nt
Filed under: Felis catus (domestic cat)
Lineage: Eukaryota; Metazoa; Chordata; Mammalia; Carnivora; Felidae
Description: lncRNA (ENSFCAG00000048112.1)
Source: RNAcentral